GUUGUAUGGUUAAGUGACUAAGCGUAUGUGGUGGAUGCCUUGGCAGUUAGAGGCGAUGAAGGACGUGUUAAUCUGCGAAAAGCUGAGUUAAGCCGAUAAAAGGCGUUAUAGGCUCAGAUGUCCGAAUGGGGAAACCCACCCGUCAUCAGGCGGGUAUCAUUAAGUGAAUUCAUAGCUUAAUGAGGCGAACCGGGAGAACUGAAACAUCUAAGUACCCCGAGGAAAAGAAAUCAACCGAGAUUUCCUUAGUAGCGGCGAGCGAACGGGAAUUAGCCCUUAAGCGGUUUGUAAGUUAGUGGAAUGAGCUGGAAAGCUCAGCGAUACAGGGUGAUAGCCCCGUACACGAAAAUGAACUUACCGUGAAAUCGAGUAGGUCGGGACACGAGAAAUCUUGACUGAAUAUGGGGGGACCAUCCUCCAAGGCUAAAUACUCCUAACUGACCGAUAGUGAACCAGUACCGUGAGGGAAAGGCGAAAAGAACCCCUGUGAGGGGAGUGAAAUAGAACCUGAAACCGCAUACGUACAAGCAGUGGAAGCCCUUCGUGGGUGACUGCGUACCUUUUGUAUAAUGGGUCAGCGACUUAUGUUCUGUAGCUAGGUUAACCGAUUAGGGGAGCCGUAGCGAAAGCGAGUGUUAACUGCGCGUUCAGUUGCAGGGCAUAGACCCGAAACCCGGCGAUCUACCCAUGGGCAGGUUGAAGGUUGAGUAACAUCAACUGGAGGACCGAACACACGUAUGUUGAAAAAUGCGGUGAUGACCUGUGGGUCGGAGUGAAAGGCUAAUCAAGCCGGGAGAUAGCUGGUUCUCCCCGAAAUCUAUUUAGGUAGAGCCUCGGACGAACACCAUUGGGGGUAGAGCACUGUUAAGGCUAGGGGGUCAUCCCGACUUACCAACCCUUUGCAAACUCCGAAUACCAAUGAGUGCUAUCCGGGAGACACACGGCGGGUGCUAACGUCCGUCGUGGAAAGGGAAACAACCCAGACCGCCAGCUAAGGUCCCAAAGUCAUAGUUAAGUGGGAAACGAUGUGGAAAGGCAUAGACAGCUAGGAGGUUGGCUUAGAAGCAGCCACCCUUUAAAGAAAGCGUAAUAGCUCACUAGUCGAGUCGGUCUGCGCGGAAGAUGUAACGGGGCUAAACUAUGCACCGAAGCUGCGGAUUUAUCCUUUGGAUAAGUGGUAGGGGAGCGUUCUGUAAGCCGUUGAAGGUGAACUGAGAAGUUUGCUGGAGGUAUCAGAAGUGCGAAUGCUGACAUGAGUAACGAUAAUGGGGGUGAAAAACCCCCACGCCGAAAGACCAAGGUUUCCUGUCCCAUGUUAAUCAGGGCAGGGUAAGUCGGCCCCUAAGGCGAGGCGGAAACGCGUAGUCGAUGGGAAACAGAUUAAUAUUUCUGUACUUCUUAUAAUUGCGAAGGAGGGACGGAGCAGGCUAGGCAAGCAUGGCGUUGGUUGUCCAUGUGAAAGUAUGUAGGCUGAAGAAUUAGGUAAAUCCGGUUCUUCUUAAGGCUGAGAUACGAGACGAGGCUCUACGGAGCUGAAGUUGUUGAUGCCCUACUUCCAGGAAAAGCUUCUAAGCAUCAGAUUAUAAGGAACCGUACCCCAAACCGACACAGGUGGUUAGGUAGAGAAUACUAAGGCGCUUGAGAGAACUCGGGUGAAGGAACUAGGCAAAAUAGUACCGUAACUUCGGGAGAAGGUACGCCGGCUAGUGUGAUGAGACUUGCUCUCUAAGCACCGGUCGGUCGAAGUAACCAGGUGGCUGGAACUGUUUAUUAAAAACACAGCACUGUGCAAAAUCGAAAGAUGACGUAUACGGUGUGACGCCUGCCCGGUGCCGGAAGGUUAAUUGAUUGGGUUAGCGCAAGCGAAGCUCAUGAUCGAAGCCCCGGUAAACGGCGGCCGUAACUAUAACGGUCCUAAGGUAGCGAAAUUCCUUGUCGGGUAAGUUCCGACCUGCACGAAUGGCGUAAUCAUGGCCACACUGUCUCCACCCGAGACUCAGUGAAAUUGAAUUUGCGGUUAAGAUGCCGUAUACCCGCGGCUAGACGGAAAGACCCCGUGAACCUUUACUAUAGCUUGACAGUGAACAUUGCUCCUACAUGUGUAGGAUAGGUGGGAGGCUUUGAAACUUGGACGCCAGUUUGAGUGGAGCCAACCUUGAAAUACCACCCUUGUAUGCGUGAUGUUCUAACCUGGUCCCGUAAUCCGGGAUGGGGACACUGUCUGGUGGGUAGUUUGACUGGGGCGGUCUCCUCCCAAAGAGUAACGGAGGAGCACGAAGGUU
Molecule: ribosomal RNA, 2282 nt
Filed under: Thalassotalea mangrovi
Lineage: Bacteria; Pseudomonadati; Pseudomonadota; Gammaproteobacteria; Alteromonadales; Colwelliaceae
Description: Thalassotalea sp. ZS-4 partial 23S ribosomal RNA
Rfam family: Bacterial large subunit ribosomal RNA
Source: RNAcentral